Molecule: ribosomal RNA, 247 nt
Filed under: uncultured bacterium
Lineage: Bacteria
Description: partial 16S ribosomal RNA
Rfam family: Bacterial small subunit ribosomal RNA
Source: RNAcentral
AAUAGUGAUAUGGAGCAAAACCCUAAAAGCGGUCUCAGUUCGGAUUGAAGGCUGAAAUUCGCCUUCAUGAAGCUGGAAUUGCUAGUAAUGGCAGGUCAGCAUACUGCCGUGAAUACGUUCCCGGGCCUUGUACACACCGCCCGUCACACCAUGAGAGUUGGGAAUACCCGAAGCCUGUGAGCUAACUGUAAGGAGGCAGCAGUCGAAGGUAGAAUCAAUGAUUGGGGUGAAGUCGUAACAAGGUAUC